UAUUAAUGAACAUUAAUUUCUUGUGCAUUUAUUUGAUGUUUAUUUUCUAAUCAUCAAUUCUUUAAGCAUUUAACUGCUUUGCAUUAAGAAUUUUGUCCAUUCCCUUUUGAUAUUCCCACUACUGUUCCCAAGACUUAGGGCCAUUUAAUUCCGUCUAUUAGACAGAAAUGUGGCUGUUCAUAUUCUGUCUCUUCAUCUUCACCCCCCUAUAAAUGUUUCGCAUUUUUCAUCCUCUAUCUUCAUCUCCUCAUUUUCUUAUUCGAAACCAAUUUGCUGCCAUUUCUUGGCAUUCUGACGAUCAAUCUGAUCCAAAAAUGGACUGUUUAGUCCGUCCGCCUUAUACUUACUUUGAUGUCACCUUUGGUAUGGGAGGUAUAGGAAAUGUUUUCUGGCCCGCAGCGAAAUUUUUACCUGCAAAAUUCUUCCCAUCGUCUCUUUGUUCUUCACAAGGAGUCAAUGAUGGAAGGCAAUUUUUGGGCUGCUCAUGGGCCAUUUUGCUUGCUGAGAGUGCUUCUCAGCUUGCCUGCUGAGAGUGUUUCUCAGCCUAUUUGCUCGCUAUUGCAGCGAUGCAUUUAGGAAGGUGGUGAGGCCAGUACACCCUCUCACUCGUCAAUCCCACCACUGCAGCGAUGCAUUUAGGAAGGCAGUGUGAAGCUUACUCAGUGAUCGACUGGGAGAUCAUCUUACUUUAGUUGUAUUUUGUAACACGCCUAUUACUUGUAUCUUUUAUAUUCUUGUAAUGAACGUUUGGUAAUAAAGAACUUUAUUUGAACGUAUUUCGCUCUGUCUUUAUUAUUUUUUGAUCGUCCAGAAUGUUUGGUUAUGUUUUUAUCUGUUCGCAUUCCCAUAAAGAAGGAACAUAUUUUUUCAAAUAUUUGUCAUUAAUGAAUCUUACGUGCUUGGUGCCAUCUAAAUCUUCCAAGUGGUAUGCUCCAUUAGGCAAUACAUUGUUUAUUUUGUAUGGUCCUUCCCAGUUGGGCGACCACUUCCCGUACUUUGGAUCCUUGGUAUCCAAAGGGAGUAUCGUCUUCCAAACUAGUUCACCCAGGCUGAACGACUUGGCUAUGACUUUUUUAUUAUAAAAUUUAGCCAUUCUUUGCUUUUGAACUUGC
Molecule: long non-coding RNA, 1112 nt
Filed under: Olea europaea subsp. europaea
Lineage: Eukaryota; Viridiplantae; Streptophyta; Magnoliopsida; Lamiales; Oleaceae
Source: RNAcentral